RNAcentral lists this non-coding RNA (212 nucleotides) under Schwartzia succinivorans. Its description in RNAcentral is "T-box sequence". It matches the Rfam family "T-box leader". Rfam says of the family: Uncharged tRNA acts as the effector for transcription antitermination of genes in the T-box leader family. T-boxes are found upstream of many aminoacyl-tRNA synthetase genes and some amino acid biosynthetic genes usually in Gram-positive bacteria. The record is from RNAcentral. Lineage: Bacteria; Bacillati; Bacillota; Negativicutes; Selenomonadales; Selenomonadaceae.
AUGCAGGCUAUGAAGAAGAGGAGUACGUGUUCAGGUACUUCAGAGAGGGAACGGCUGGUGUGAGUUCCUGUACUGAGAUACGGAAGGUCGCUUCUGAGCUUCCUUUGCAGAACAGAGUAAGCAGAGGCGUUUGACAGCGUUAUUGUCUUGAGCCGGAGAAUCUCUCCGGGAAUUUUGGUGGUACCACGAAAGCAGGCUCUUUCGUCCAGAUG